Molecule: transfer RNA, 72 nt
Filed under: Camelus bactrianus (Bactrian camel)
Lineage: Eukaryota; Metazoa; Chordata; Mammalia; Artiodactyla; Camelidae
Also listed under: 2 other names
Rfam family: tRNA
About the family: Transfer RNA (tRNA) molecules are approximately 80 nucleotides in length.
Source: Rfam by way of RNAcentral
GAGGGUAUAGCUCAGUGGUAGAGCACGUGCUUAGUAUACAUGAGGUCCCGGGUUCCAUCCCCAACAUCUCCA